AGACUACUGUGCUCACGAACUCCCAACUGCUGCAGCUGGUUGAAUAAGACCUGGAUAAGAUCAAGCCAGAUGACAUUCCAGCAUGAAGGGGAAAUAUAUGAGCCUCACUGCUAGCUGAGGAGCUAUGGGACAUUGGGCUGCGUCUUCAGAACCUGCCACAAACUCAGCAAAUGUCUUAAUGAAUUAAUGAUUAACAAUCAUGCCGUCAUCCUUCACCAUCCCAGGAAUGGACCUGACUAGGGCUUUGAGGGAAAGAAGAAAAGACAGAGAUUCUCAGAAAAGCUGGAUCAGGCGGGCUGGGCUCUCUGAGGGAGACACUGCAGCACCUUUGUGUGGAUAAGGUUGAACACUGUGUAAAGAUUAUCCUUGUAUCAUUCAAAUGUUGAUUUCUGUGCCCCCCAUAUCUGGUUGCCAUCCUUAUUCUGAGAAUCUCCUGUCUUAGUGUUGUGUAAACAUUGCUCCCCAAUUACUCCAUGAUUGAUCAAUAAAGACGCUGAUUAGCCAAUGA
This is a long non-coding RNA of Rattus rattus (black rat), 508 nucleotides long. RefSeq lists it as uncharacterized. The transcript has 2 exons. NCBI's taxonomy places the organism in Eukaryota, Metazoa, Chordata, Mammalia, Rodentia, Muridae. The record is from RefSeq and is a predicted model, not a curated record.